AUUGUUUGUGGGUUCCCUUCCUUGACUUAUGGGUCCCCCCCCACACUUAUGGGGUGUCCCCCCCCUGCCCCAUAGAUACCUUCUCCAGCAACGCCUUCACUUCCCAUUCCUGCCUCUGCUUCCGGCUGCGCACCCAUAGGUGGCAAUGGGGGCACCCACCUGGGACCAAGAUGCUGGUGAAGCCAUGAGCAUGCCCAGUGCCAAGGACGUCCUCAUAGGGGCAGAAGCGAAGGGCACUUGUGGGGCCAGGGGGGCGAUGGCACAGGCUGCAGCCAGGAGCCCACGUUGGCUGAAGUCAAGGUGUGAGGCCCCCAUAGGGAGCACCAGAUCCUGCAGCGCCCCAUAAGUGCGGAGGUCCCAUAGCCGGACCUUGCGGUCCAGCCCUGCUGAUGCCAUGUACCUGAUGGGGACACCCCAUAGGAGACACUGCUAUGUGGG
Molecule: long non-coding RNA, 438 nt
Organism: Melopsittacus undulatus (budgerigar)
Lineage: Eukaryota; Metazoa; Chordata; Aves; Psittaciformes; Psittaculidae
Exons: 3
Source: RefSeq, a predicted model, not a curated record